Long non-coding RNA from Tachyglossus aculeatus (Australian echidna), 384 nucleotides. RefSeq lists it as uncharacterized. The transcript has 3 exons. The record is from RefSeq and is a predicted model, not a curated record. Lineage: Eukaryota; Metazoa; Chordata; Mammalia; Monotremata; Tachyglossidae.
UAAAUCUAAAAGCAGAGAUAUCAGAUACCUCAAGAGACUAAAGGGCUUGGAAUUGAAAAGCAACUGGAGGAAAACUACUCAUUGAAUGCCUAAAAGCUACAAAAGAAAAAAAAUCAACAUUUGGCACAUAGUAAAAGAAUUAGGGUCAAAAAAUUUAAAGGAACCACACAAACCAAAAUCAGGACACAGGAUGGAUCAAUAACCACUGGGGAUGCACAGUUUCAAAAUGAUAUCUCUUCGAAUUCCUAGUGCACUGAGGGCACUUUGAGUUAGUGAGUGUGUUCUAGGCAUCUAAUGUUAUAUUUCUGGUCGAUUACCAUUGUUAAAUGUCCUUAUUUCAACUGUUGAAAGUUCUCAACUUUAAUAAAAUGUUUGGACAUUGAA